RNAcentral lists this ribosomal RNA (1385 nucleotides) under Yersinia enterocolitica. Its description in RNAcentral is "partial 23S ribosomal RNA". It matches the Rfam family "Bacterial large subunit ribosomal RNA", at positions 1565 to 2925 of the family's 2925-position model. The record is from RNAcentral. Lineage: Bacteria; Pseudomonadati; Pseudomonadota; Gammaproteobacteria; Enterobacterales; Yersiniaceae.
GAUGACGAUGCACUACGGUGCAGAAGUAGUUGAUGCCAUGCUUCCAGGAAAAGCCUCUAAGCAUCAGGUAACAUGAAAUCGUACCCCAAACCGACACAGGUGGUCAGGUAGAGAAUACUCAGGCGCUUGAGAGAACUCGGGUGAAGGAACUAGGCAAAAUGGUGCCGUAACUUCGGGAGAAGGCACGCUGGCAUUAGGUAAAGGGACUUGCUCCCGGCGCCGAAGCCAGUCGCAGAUACCAGCUGGCUGCAACUGUUUAAUAAAAACACAGCACUGUGCAAACACGAAAGUGGACGUAUACGGUGUGACGCCUGCCCGGUGCUGGAAGGUUAAUUGAUGGGGUCAGCCGCAAGGCGAAGCUCUUGAUCGAAGCCCCAGUAAACGGCGGCCGUAACUAUAACGGUCCUAAGGUAGCGAAAUUCCUUGUCGGGUAAGUUCCGACCUGCACGAAUGGCGUAAUGAUGGCCAGGCUGUCUCCACCCGAGACUCAGUGAAAUUGAACUCGCUGUGAAGAUGCAGUGUACCCGCGGCAAGACGGAAAGACCCCGUGAACCUUUACUAUAGCUUGACACUGAACAUUGAGCCUUGAUGUGUAGGAUAGGUGGGAGGCAUAGAAGUGUGGACGCCAGUCUGCAUGGAGCCAACCUUGAAAUACCACCCUUUAAUGUUUGAUGUUCUAACUCGGCCCCGUAAUCCGGGGUGAGGACAGUGUCUGGUGGGUAGUUUGACUGGGGCGGUCUCCUCCCAAAGAGUAACGGAGGAGCACGAAGGUUAGCUAAUCACGGUCGGACAUCGUGAGGUUAGUGCAAAGGCAUAAGCUAGCUUGACUGCGAGAGUGACGGCUCGAGCAGGUACGAAAGUAGGUCUUAGUGAUCCGGUGGUUCUGAAUGGAAGGGCCAUCGCUCAACGGAUAAAAGGUACUCCGGGGAUAACAGGCUGAUACCGCCCAAGAGUUCAUAUCGACGGCGGUGUUUGGCACCUCGAUGUCGGCUCAUCACAUCCUGGGGCUGAAGUAGGUCCCAAGGGUAUGGCUGUUCGCCAUUUAAAGUGGUACGCGAGCUGGGUUUAGAACGUCGUGAGACAGUUCGGUCCCUAUCUGCCGUGGGCGUUGGAAGAUUGAGAGGGGCUGCUCCUAGUACGAGAGGACCGGAGUGGACGAAUCACUGGUGUUCGGGUUGUCAUGCCAAUGGCAUUGCCCGGUAGCUAAAUUCGGAAGAGAUAACCGCUGAAAGCAUCUAAGCGGGAAACUUGCCUCGAGAUGAGUCUUCCCUGGGGCUUUAAGCCCCCUGAAGGAACGUUAAAGACGAUGACGUUGAUAGGCUGGGUGUGUAAGUGCAGCGAUGCAUUGAGCUAACCAGUACUAAUGAACCGUGAGGCUUAACCUU